This 383-nucleotide long non-coding RNA is filed under the name Lactuca sativa (garden lettuce). RNAcentral describes it as "long non-coding RNA (LSAT_LNC000876)". The record is from RNAcentral. Lineage: Eukaryota; Viridiplantae; Streptophyta; Magnoliopsida; Asterales; Asteraceae.
GAUACCGAAAUUAUGACAUAUUCAACAACAUUGUGAAAAGCAACCCAGACUUAGCAAGUGAGGGUAUAACAUAUUCAACAACAUUGUGAAAAGCAACCCAGACUUAGCAAGUGAGGGUAUAACAUAUUCAACAACAUUGUGAAAAGCAACCCAGACUUAGCAAGUGAGGGUAUAACAUAUUCAACAACAUUGUGAAAAGCAACCCAGACUUAGCAAGUGAGGGGAAAACUUUAUCUUACAAUUGGUUAAUAGUUAGGUACAAAAAAGAAGCUCAAUUAAUUGGCUUAAUUGGUGUAUUUUCUGAAAACGGAAUACUUAUCAUAUCCUUGUAACUUUAAUCUCUCCCUAGUUUUUUCAAUAAAAAUAUCUUGCUGAUAAAAAAA